GCGCCAAGUCAAGCGGUAGAUGCAGUGCGGCUGCUGCCGUCUUUUUAAUCAGUGUGCAUAACUCCGAAGGCAGGGGUCGGACGUUCGAAUCGUCUCGGGCGCGCCA
RNAcentral lists this transfer RNA (106 nucleotides) under Zoogloeaceae bacterium. Its description in RNAcentral is "tRNA-OTHER". Lineage: Bacteria; Pseudomonadati; Pseudomonadota; Betaproteobacteria; Rhodocyclales; Zoogloeaceae. The record is from RNAcentral.